Molecule: ribosomal RNA, 528 nt
Filed under: uncultured bacterium
Lineage: Bacteria
Description: bacterial SSU rRNA
Rfam family: Bacterial small subunit ribosomal RNA
Source: RNAcentral
AGAGUUUGAUCAUGGCUCAGAUUGAACGCUGGCGGCAUGCCUAACACAUGCAAGUCGAACGGCAGCACAGAGGAGCUUGCUCCUUGGGUGGCGAGUGGCGGACGGGUGAGUAAUGCAUCGGGACCUACCCAGACGUGGGGGAUAACCUCGGGAAACCGGGACUAAUACCGCAUACGUCCUACGGGAGAAAGCGGGGGACCUUCGGGCCUCGCGCGGUUGGACGGACCGAUGUGCGAUUAGCUAGUUGGUAAGGUAAUGGCUUACCAAGGCGACGAUCGCUAGCUGGUCUGAGAGGAUGAUCAGCCACACUGGGACUGAGACACGGCCCAGACUCCUACGGGAGGCAGCAGUGGGGAAUAUUGGACAAUGGGCGAAAGCCUGAUCCAGCAAUGCCGCGUGUGUGAAGAAGGCCCUCGGGUUGUAAAGCACUUUCGGUGGGGACAAAAAGCGUUGCACUAACACUGCAAUGUUUGAUUUAACCCAUAGAAGAAGCACCGGCUAACUCUGUGCCAGCCGCCGCGGUAAUAC